This 459-nucleotide ribosomal RNA is filed under the name uncultured bacterium. RNAcentral describes it as "bacterial SSU rRNA". It matches the Rfam family "Bacterial small subunit ribosomal RNA", at positions 340 to 789 of the family's 1533-position model. The record is from RNAcentral.
UACGGGAGGCAGCAGUGGGGAAUAUUGCACAAUGGGCGAAAGCCUGAUGCAGCUAUGCCGCGUGUAUGAAGAAGGCCUUAGGGUUGUAAAGUACUUUCAUCGGGGAGGAAAAAACAAAACUAAUAAUUUUAUUUCUUGACGUUACCCGAAAAAGAAGCACCGGCUAACUCCGUGCCAGCAGCCGCGGUAAUACGGAGGGUGCUAGCGUUAAUCAGAAUUACUGGGCGUAAAGAGCACGUAGGUGGUUUUUUUAAGUCAGAUGUGAAAUCCCUGGGCUUAACCUGGAACUGCAUUUUGAAACUGAAAUACUAGAGUAUCGUAGAGGGAGGUAGAAUUCUAGGUGUAGCGGUGAAAUGCGUAGAUAUCUGGAGGAAUACCUGUGGCGAAAGCGGCCUCCUAAACGAAUACUGACACUGAGGUGCGAAAGCGUGGGGAGCGAAACAGGGAUUAGAUACCCGU